GACGAACGCUGGCGGCGUGCUUAACACAUGCAAGUCGAGCGGUAAGGCCCUUUCGGGGGUACGACGAGCGGCGAACGGGUGAGUAACACGUGGGUGACCCGCCCUCAGCUCUGGGAUAAGCCUGGGAAACCGGGUCUAAUACCGGAUAUGACUCCAUGACGCAUGUUGUGGGGUGGAAAGCCUUGUGCGGCUGAGGAUGGGCCCGCGGCCUAUCAGCUUGUUGGUGGGGUGAUGGCCACCAAGGCGACGACGGGUAGCCGGCCUGAGAGGGCGACCGGCCACACUGGGGACUGAGACACGGCCCAGACUCCUACGGGAGGCAGCAGUGGGGAAUCUUGCGCAAUGGGCGAAAGCCUGACGCAGCGACGCCGCGUGAGGGAUGACGG
RNAcentral lists this ribosomal RNA (386 nucleotides) under uncultured bacterium. RNAcentral describes it as "bacterial SSU rRNA". It matches the Rfam family "Bacterial small subunit ribosomal RNA", at positions 28 to 414 of the family's 1533-position model. The record is from RNAcentral.